UGCCACUGUCGGUGAUGAUGUC
RNAcentral lists this non-coding RNA (22 nucleotides) under Arabidopsis thaliana (thale cress). Lineage: Eukaryota; Viridiplantae; Streptophyta; Magnoliopsida; Brassicales; Brassicaceae. The record is from RNAcentral.